Molecule: long non-coding RNA, 9315 nt
Filed under: Jatropha curcas
Lineage: Eukaryota; Viridiplantae; Streptophyta; Magnoliopsida; Malpighiales; Euphorbiaceae
Description: long non-coding RNA (JCUR_LNC000252)
Source: RNAcentral
CUCUCUCUCUUUUGUAGUGCUGUCUGCUCAUCUCCUUUCAACUUCUAUCAGCCAUCUUUCAUCUCAGGAUCAUGUUCCAGGCACGUUCUCUCUCUCUCUUCUCUAAUCAAUUUUCUUACCAAUGAUCAUAUGAUGUUUUGUUGCUAUAACUUCUAUUACGUAGUAUUUUGCCUCUCUCUAGCUAUCAAUUUUCUUACUACGUUUUUGUUUUUUCUUUUCAUUUUUUUAGGUAACCAUGUUGUAUACUAGAAUAAGAUCAAUCCAUCAUGUAAAAGAUUGGAUCGGCUUAGGAAUAGGUACGACAAUUUUACUUUGGAAUAGUAAAUAAGUAGGUUCGUACAAUAUUUUUACUAUCUGUGAGUUCAGGUUAGAAAAUUCAAAUAAACGUUACUUAUUUUCUAUUUUGAUUAAUAUUCUAAAAUAUUUGAAAGUAAUUUAUUUAUUUUUUUAAAAAUUACAUAUGUAUAUUUCUAAUUAUAAUUAGUACUAUAACUAAUAUUAAUAUUGUAUUUUUUAUUAAGUCAAUAGAAUGUUAUAGUUCUUACUUAUAUUUAGUUUCAAAACUAAAAAAAAAAGCAAAAUAAUAUUCUAAAAUCAAAAUGAUAUUUAAGUGGGUCCGAGUAUUAAAUGAACAAUUGUGAUUGAAUUUGAAAAAUAUUUCAAUAAUAAAUAAAUUUUUAAACGGGGUGGAAAUUAAUUCAGUUAUCUAAAUAGUAGAUUCAACUAGAUAUCCAAUCCGUUGCUAACCUAUUAGGAGCUUCAAUUUUGAACUGAAUUGAAAUUAAGCGUGGGGUUCGAAGCCAACAAGUCCAAAAUAAUGUGUCAUCAUACGCACAAACAUUCCAAGGACACAUGAUGUCCUAAGUUGAUACUUGAUGGAACUAUAUCCAAGUCUCGUGAUAAUUUAAAAUAAUUUAAAUUUAUAUUACAAAUGAUACAAAUAAAAAUAUACUUGUUAAUUAGGUGAUGAUCUUAUUGAUUUUUUUCACUUACGUGAAAAAAGAGAUAUCUCGAAUUUAAAUUCUCUCGACUAUAAUUGUUUUCCUCUCUGAUGUGUAGCCUGCACCAAAUUGGCGAAAAACUAGUGGUAAAAAAAGCUCUUAUAAAUAUAACUUAUUACAUUCUUUCGCCAUUUUCUUUAUAAAAAUACUCCAUAGUCUAUGAUUAUAAAACAUGGAAGGCAAAAACAUUAGACAUUCAUAGAUUAUUUAUAGUAUGAAGCUUUUAAAUUCUAAAUUGAACAAAACUGAAUAAGAUCAAAAUAAAAAAAAAAAAAUCGAAGAAUCAAAUUUCUGAACUGAAUUUUUAAGACAAUUCUGUUCCAGAUCUUUAAACCUUCAUAUGUACUUUCAAUUUUCUCUAGAAUGGAAAUUCAAUUCAGUCCCAAAACUUUUCGAAAUGUAAACUAGACUCGAUCGAAGACAAAUCCUAUCUAGACUCAUCUCUAGCCAAGUUAUAUAUACACUAUAAUAAGCCAGCAAGUGCAUAAUGUUAACAUCUUUAAAAAGCAACAUUACCACAAAAUCUCCAGAUACUCUAUUAACACAUCUUAUUCUCUGCCUGCCUGAAGAAGCAUUGAAGAAAACAAAUUUACAAAAUAUAUAUAUAUAUAUAUAUAUAUAUAUAUCUAUUUUUUUUUUUUUUUGAGAAAAAAAUGUACAUCUCAAAUAAAUACAAUUGUGCCUCUCCUUUCGUAUAUGCGUUGAUGGUGGCUUUACAACUUUCUCAUAAUGUUCAUCAUAAAGGCAAUCCUUGCCUAUUACUAUUUAUUCUGAAUACAUUCCACCAAUCUUCUCAGCUAGUUUGGGAUUUUGGCUUAGUUGUUGUUGGUAUAUAUUUGACAUAUCUUCAGUUAUUCUUUGCCAAGUUACUAAAUGUUAUAAUCAUAAAGUGCCACAUCGUUACGAUGACAAAUCAAUAAACCCUGCAACAUUAAGGAAAAUAAUUUAUGUUCUCUUCUUGACGUCCAUGCUUGCCUCAAACAAAAGAGGGACAAAAACCAAAAUUGAGUUCCGUACCUGUAAAAAUGGGGGGUUCAUUGACAACUAGCUUAUGUGAGAUUCGACCCAAUUUUUGCUGGUCUAAGACUCUUUUGAGCCCUUCGUGCGUGGUCAAAUACAAAAAUGAAGAGACUACAUACGUAUAAUAGGCAUAACCGUAGCUUUCCUAUUAUACCACAGGUUAAGUGGACAUUGUUUCCAUCCUCUGCGCGAACUAAUAUAUCUCCCUUCAAACAGCCUGACAACAAACAUUAAACAAUAAAUAAAAAUCAUCACAUGAUCUCAUAAAGAAAGUAGUACAGGGUUGUGUAGCAAUGUGGAUACAGCUAACUACUGACUGUCCAAGAAGAUAUCAGAACUCUUCAACAAGUUUCUAACAGGAAUAUAUUAUCAGCAGUGUUUUUUAUCCUAGCCCUUUUCUAUCUUGAGCUCCCUAAACACAAAGCAUAUCAAAAUUGUUUACCAAGAAGGCAGGCAUUUCCUUCUUGGAAGAAUACUAGGGUGUUGCAGCACUGAAAUACAUGGGAUUUCAUGAAAUUCCAAGAUUUACAACAUCUAUAUCCUCUUCCUUGGCCCUACUUAAGAAUGAAAAUAAAAUCAGGAAGGGGAUGCUUAAGCAUUGGCCUUAUGGCACAUUUAUAUGUCUCCUAUGAUAGAAGCCUAGGUUUUCAAACUCAAAUAUUAUAAAUAAUUCAGCUAAAAACCAAGUAUCAUGUAGAUGCUCAAUAUUGCGCUUUAUAUUCAUCACUGUAAGCUUUCCCCAGCCCUUUCUCAUCAAUGGACUCCUGAUAUAUACGAGGGAGUGCGGCUUCGAGAAAUUCCUACUUCUCUAUCCAUUGCUGAGAUGCUUGGAUUUUCCAAAACUCCAUGGACAUACAGAAGAGAAAUGCUAUCCCCACUCGGACCAAGACAUAACUUUUACUUGUUAAAAUAGUUGGACAUAAUAGUUGUGACUUAGGAAUAAGUCCUCUUUAAGAGAUGCUUAGGACACAAUAACUCAAUUAUGCAGGAAGAAUGUAGCACCGUCUUAUCUUAACUUUAAGUUGGUUUAUCAGUCUAUGCCAGCAUGUAAAAGAAAACAAUUAACGGAAUGAUGCUUAGGACACAAUAACUCAAUUAUGCAGGAGGAAUGUAGCACCGUCUUAUCUUAACUUUAAGUUGGUUUAUCAGUCUAUGCCAGCAUGUAAAAGAAAACAAUUAACGGAAUGCAUCAAGAGGUGAUGUACUAAUCUCAGAUGUGCAAUUGAGGUUUUUUGUUUGGGAUAAUUAUUAUUUUAUCCGUAUAUUUUACCAAAAUUUACUACUUUGUCUUUGUAAUUUUUAAAAAUAGACUAUUUUACCAAUAACUUCUGCAACCAUCCAACAUUUCGGUCCUUUUUCUUUUUAAGCUUUUAACUGUUAAUUCAUACAAAAAAAAGAAGCCCCAAACAUAACCACUCUUUUUUCUCUCUGAAACCAUGAGUCUCGCUUGCUUCUUCAUACUUUGGCUCCAAAUCCUAGCAUUCAUUUCUAAAAGUUCCCUCUCCUUUCACUCCAUCUCCACCAUUGAUCCAGUUGCAAAUUUGCAAUCAUUAAACUCCAUUUACAGAGAAAGAGAGAUCAUUAACCAAAUUAAAAAGAAAGUAACAACAAUAGUUAAAACUCUUUGCAGAAAUUAGUUUUUUUUAUUAAUUUUAUCACAAUAAUGGCAGCAGAAGCAAAGGGGUUGAAGGUGAAAGCAGGGCUGAGAUUGUGGAUUUGGGGAGCUCUCGCUUUGAAGUUGCAUGUGGACCUUAAUUAGAUCAAGAGGGUGAGUAGAGCAGCUAUUAACAGUUGAAGCAAUCCCUUCAACAAAACCUUUGAUACCCAUGGCUAGUAGUUCUCUCCCUGUUUCUUUUUUUCUUCUUUAGUUUUUUGGGUUAAAAAUUUGGAAAAAAAAUGAAUAAACCAUUAUUGAGUAAAACAAAAUCUAUAAAAAAAAUCAAAAUUAUAGCCAAUUGGGUUUCAAGUGAAUGGAAACGAGAAGAUGAGAAUGGAGGCUAAAAGCUAAGUAAAAAGAGAGAGGGACUAUAGGUCUCAGAGACAUGUGUUAGAAAAAUGAGGGCAAAGAAAUAUGAUAGGAUUUGAAUUGAAGGGAUGUUUUAGGAGGAAGAGAGUUCGAGAAUAUAUAAGCGAAAGGGAGAGGAAAGUGAAAAAAAGGGAAGAAGAAUAGAACCAAGAAACCAGUAAAAUUAAUAACAUUAACAAAAUUCAUGCUCAAAUUAAAACUAAAAAUAAGUGAUUUUUUAAGAAAUAAAUUGAAAUUUGUUAAAAUUAAGUGCCUUUUAAGUAAUAAAUUAAAGUUGUGUGACCAAUAAAUAAUAUAGUGGUGAAAAUAGAAUUUGGGAGCAUUGUUGAUUCUUCAUUAUAAAUUAAUGGCUAAAAUCUCAAAAAAUGGAUAGAAAGACAUAAGUGUUGGAUGGUUUCAGAAGUUAGGAUAAAAUAGUCUAUUUUUAAAAAUAGGAAAAAAGUAGUUAGUUUUGACAAAAUAUAGGGAAAAAAUAAUUAUUAUCCCUAUUAAGCCUUUUAAUAAUGAAAUAAUAUAUAAAUUAGAGGAAGCAUAUCAUCAUUUUAUUCUUAUAACAUAUUUUAAUGUUUUAAUAAAUCUUCUAUGGUAAUCAAAUAUUAUAAACAAAAAUUUUACAAAAAAUUCAACAGAUGGGAAAGUCACCCUCUUCCCAGUAAGCUCUCUCCCUCCCUCUCCCACAAUGAAACCUCAGAAAAAGUGUUCUGGUUCUGGGAAAAACAAUCCAUCAACAACCCCCACCUACCUUCUUCCUAAAUCCAUAGAAGGUCUAAGAAACUCUUCAUCACCGCCAUUAUUUUCAUGGCAAUACCUUAUCCAGAUUCCCCCCCCCCCCCCGCCAUUAUUUUCAUGGCAAUACCUUAUCCAGAUUCAUGAUAGAGAGAAAUCAAAUCCUUUACCCACUGCAGAUAUGGACAUUGAUGCUUGUCUCCAAGUCUUUAUAUCUCAAAUGAAGUCACUGUCACCUUAACUAGACAGUAAGGAAAGGUGGCUGCAGUAGCUAUAGUCGAUAUACACGCCAAGGCAGAGGAGCUCAAGCCCAGAUAGAUGGAGCAUAUGUCCAUUGACCUUAAUGAAGGUCCUUCAAUGGUGAUUUCUUCAUGGCCAAGGGCUCCAUUAGUCCCCCAGCAGCUGCUCAACUAGAUCCACAUGGAGAGUUGGAGAUAUUCACUAAAAGGACAAAAGACUUGAAUCUGACUCCUAAUUUCGAGAUGCACAACGCUUGGAACUUUGCAUUUGGUUUUGUGGGGAAGGAGACAACAAUUGUUAUAUGAUCCCUUUGGUUUAGGUGAUAAUGCACCACUGGAUAGUGUAGUUAAGGGUUGAAGGAGGAUUUUUAAUAUUAUAUUUUUAUAAUGAAGUUAAAGUUUAAAAAACUUAAUAUAAGAAAAAUAAAAGUGAAAAAUUGGAAAAGAAUAAAUUAAUAAUAUUUUUUGUCAUAAAUUUAUAUAUUACUCCAUAAGAAGUCUCAAUUCAAAAAAAAAAAAAAAAAAAGAAUGCCCAAUUGAAUAAAAUAAAUCACAAAGAGCUCAAUUUCACAUUUCACAUAUUUACUAGAGCCUGUAUAUGCAUUUGACCAAGACCUUGACUGUGUAUGCUUACCAGGGUUUCUGUUGGGCAAAUUUGUCCAAUCGUGCGGGCUAAUCCUUGUUUUGGAUGCCUUGAUCAAGUCCUGAAGAGCUUGAUUGACCUGAAAUUUUUAAAGACAAGAAAACAUACAGUUGAGCAUACAUUGCUUCAUGUGUUGUUCCCCAAUUCAAUGAAAAUUUUGUCAAGCAUAAAGGUCAAUUCAUGGCUUCCUAAUGAAUUGAGUGUCCAAUUCUACUUAACAUCACAUGUAGCUUUUCUUGUUCUCAAUCAAAUGCAAGGUUACAAUUUUUCCAACUCAACUAAAAGACUAUUCUCAAUUAUACUAUAUUUUAACUGGCUCCAGUCAAAUUAUAAUUCUUGUAUUGCAGACUUCUCACUAUGGCAUAAUCUAAUGGCCUAUUUUAUGCAAAAUCUGUGCACAGCAGGAAUACCUCCUCAGUCCUCUCAUGGCUCACUAAAUGACCACCAUGUAGAUCUAUCAUCCUAGCAACUGGCUGCAGCUUCUCGGCAAGUCUUCUUGCAUAAUAUAUUUGAGCAAUGAUAUCAUGCCUACAAUUCAGAAAAAUUCAAGUAAUCUUAAGCAGAUAUGAGUUAUUAGGGAUUUAUUUAUACAUCACUAUAACAUAAGAUCAAAAACAUCCAAUGCAGUACAUUGAUACUUUGCAUCCAAAAUCUUUAAUCAUACAUACAUAAAUAACCCUGAAAAGUAUGAUAUUGUAACUGCAAUUUUAACAACCUUCUCUCUCUCUCUCUCUCACACACACCCACACACACAGAGACACACAUGCAAUGAUGUGAUUGAAUGAAAGAUGUGUCCAAACAUUUUUGUUUUUUAUUUUCAAUCCAUAUCUCAGUUCAUCCAUCUUGAAUUGUUUUCGAGUAGUGUCAUUUUUACAUUCUUUAUGCUGUGGAUCCAAAUGUUUGAAAACUGAAAAAUAAGAUUGCUGAUUUCAAUUUUUUAUUUUAAACAGCUAAUCAACAACGUUGGGUAAAUCAUAUCUGCAUUACAUCAUAUAGCAUAGUUUAAAUCACUAUCACUACAACAAUUAUACUUGCAGCACCAUGUCACACAAUAGGGGUUGCCAUGGCUCGCAAUGUGAUAUUCUUUUGUCGUAUAAAAGAACUGCAUAUUUGACUUGAAAAUGCAACUAAGAUGUGAACGUAAAAUGCAGAUAUUAAAAAUAUUAAUCAUAAUUUACUUGAGUUUUUUUGGGCAAGUUCAAAGCAAAAUAAAAUUAUAUAAAAAAUAUAUAAAUAUUUUGUUCCAUCUUACUGCCAAAAUUCUAGAAGCAAGUUUACAAAUAAAACAAGAACCUGAAAAUUAGUCACUUUAAAUUUGCAUUUUGCCGUAAGAAAGCUGAAGACUUAUGACUCAGGAGUUAGAUAUUGGCAAGCACAAUUAAAUGGCAUCUUGAAGUUGUAUGAGCUUUGUUAAGGAUUUGAGUGUUUAACAAUCAAACGCGCUAAGAAGUCAAAUGAACAAUAAUAUUACAGUUUUUGAAUAGGCCUUUUAAAGCUGAAUGAACUUUGCAUAUCAACUGUUAGUGUCUUAGCUAAGUAUUUUCUUUGCCUCUGUUAGAUGACAAGGUUAGGGUAAUAUGAAUUCCAUUACAUAAUGACCAUUACAUUAUUUAAGCAAUUCCUAUGACAUAUUGACUUCUUUUAAUAAGUACCUCUCUAUACUAAAAGUUACGCAAUGAAGAGAUGUAAAAUUUAUCCAUCACAACCCAUGCUUGUGUAUGCUUUCACAAGUUCUAUUUCUUUUUGUCUUUUAUUUCAUAAUUGUUUGCAUCAUUUGCAGAACAUGCAGACAUACAAAUGUUAGAUGACUAAUUUGAUAGCCACUUUGGCGGCUAAACACAUUUUUAGCCCCCCUGUACUUUCAGGUUUUUGCCAAUUUAACUCUUUUUUCAAACUUUAACCUAUUGCACCCUCAAACUCCAGGUGUGCUGAUGAAGCCCUUUUGGGCCUUUUUUGAUGAAGCGUGCAGUGACAACAAUUUUUGCACGAGUGAGCCGUUUAGCUCCUGUUAACCACCAAAAUGAUGUUGUUUCUUUGAACGCAAGAUCUUGAGCCUCCUUCACUGUCACAAUACCUGAACCCAGCUCAAACAAAUCCAUGCCCAUUUUCUUCACCAAGGUCUUCACCAACUCAACCAUAACUAAAAAAGCCAAAAAUAGCCCGACCAUAAAUAAAAAACCCAAAUUAAAUAGUUUUUUACAUCCUCUGAUAUUUCAAUAUCCAACAUUUGUUGGGUUUCCAGUAAAAUUUUGACGUCCACCCAUCGGCCGGUGAAGGACAAAUGUUACAGAAGGUAAGGUUUGGAGAAUAUAAAAUGUCCAUUGGACUCUUCGGUCAAAGUUAGCUUAGUAGCAAAAGAACCUAUUAAUGGGUAUGAGUUUGGGAGAUGAAUAGAGAUCGAUUGUUUUGAUUUGGAGUGUUUGGUUUUCAAGAAAAUGAAGAGUAACGAGAAAAUGAGAAGGAAAAAUGAUAGUACAAGAAGAAGCUCCACACUGCUUGCCUUUUCCUUUAGUCUGUUAUCAAUUACCUCUAUAAUUUCUCCUUCACCAACAUUCCUAUUAUUAAUGAAACCAUCUGAGAACCAAAAGAAUCUCCAUUAUUAACAGGUAUGAAACUUUUUCUUUAAUAAAAAAUCCCUUGUAUUGGAUCGCAUCGAGAUCCAAACUUAAAAUGGCACCUUCUUACCCGACUCACAUUCGGGUCAGCCCCACAAAAUGGAGUUUCCAGCACAGUCUACUUGAGAACUACACAUCGGUUCCUAAGGCAAUGCCCAUUGUAUCUCCACUCCUGGGUCGGGCCACUUAGCCAUAGGCAAAUUUGAAUCUAUAUUCUAUAAGCCCUGCACUGAAAUCUCAAAUCCGCAUCCAAUGCUUUGUUGGCAGCCCACCCACUUGAAAAUGACAACAAAUCAAUCAAAUAAUAAACUUGUGGGCACUGAAUCUAAAUUCACAGAGCUGGAAGCGGAGACAGACAAAGAUGGUAAAAGGUUCAGCAAGGGCGACCAAAGCGCUGAAGUUGGCAGGGGGAAAGAUGGUGGUGGAGCCAGUGGGCGCGUUCAACAAGCUGACAGAGAGGAUGAAUAUGCUGUCGGUUGAGAGACAAUAAAAGACAAUGAAUGUACACUACUGAGAAUAGCAUCGUUUUGCACUGCUGAGAAUGCCACCAACUCUAACAUAAAGCACAUCAUUUUAAUUGUGUGAGGCUAAAAGUACCAUAAGGAAAACGGCAGUAUUUUGAUGGUUAACCGGCUUUUUAACAGUUCCUUGCCCAGUGUUUGUUGUCACCUUACGCUCCAUCAAAAAAGGCCCAAAAGGGCUUCAUGCGAUACACGCCAAAGGUUCAAGUGAGUAAUAGGUUAAAAGGGUUAAAUUGGCAAAAACGUGAAAGUUCAGGGACAAAUAUGUUUUUAGCCCCACUUUGACAGUAAGAAAAAGCAAUACAGUUUUUGGCAGGGAAUCAUCAUUACCUGCCAUGUAUGACUGAUACAAGAAAUCCAGCAGAACGGAUCACCUCAAUUUCUGUUCGUGUCAUUUUAUGUGUCCAACAAGCGUUGAUUUGACCUUCAAAACCACAAUUAGACUGCAUCCCAGUUGAUGAUAUACCUUUUACAUAUUCCUGCAAGAGAUGCGCCUAAAAUUUAGGUAGGGACAUCCUUAUACA